UUACGGUCAUGUCACGUUGAAACACCAGUUCUCGUACAAUCACCGAAGUUAAACAACGUCGAGCUUGGUUAGUACCUAGAUGGGUAACUUGGGAAUGCCAGGUGCUGUAAG
This is a non-coding RNA of Acanthosepion pharaonis, 111 nucleotides long. Lineage: Eukaryota; Metazoa; Mollusca; Cephalopoda; Sepiida; Sepiidae. The record is from the annotation of a GenBank genome assembly.